AGCUGGUAAUGCCAGCUUAGGGGGAAGGCAGCCUCCUUUGAGAGGGGGAAAAGGGCAGAAUUCUGAUUGGAAAGGGCAAAGUGGGGAUUCAUGCAGCUGAUUGAGCCAACACAUGACAGGAGAGAAGGAAGCCAGUGAAAACACAGCAGGGUCCUUCAGGAGCAAUGACAGAGGAUGACCAUGAACAAGGAACUUUUAUGGAAUUGCAGAAUUUUAGAACUGGAAGAACCCCAGGAGGUCAUACAACAACAAGAAGAAGCAUUUUAAUUAACACUUUAAAACUUCAGAGCAUGUUACAUAGACUAUCUCAUUUGACACUUCUAAUGACCCUACAAGAAAGGAAUUUACAAAAAUGCAAGAGGAAGAUGCAAGAUCAAAAUUCCAUUUGGAAUUCCAAUUACCUGGGACUAGACAGGAAGAGACAGUAAGAUACAGUAACUGAAAAAUCAGUUAACAGUUGGUGUUGGACUCCUUAGGAGACAGAAACUGUGUCCUGCUUUCUGCUUUCAUGAUACUGAGAGGGUAGCUGAUUUUGGUACUCAGGUGGACCAAGGAAAAGCCUUUCUCUGUGGCUGUCUUGAGAUACCUGCCUGCUUCCUGCUGUUCACACUACAAAGAGAACCUGGAUUUCUCCUGGAGGUGUCUUUAUUUGGAGCAAAGGAAGACUCUUGUCUGUGAGAAUCCCUUAAGGUCCUUUCCUUUACCAAAUCCCUCUCCAAUUUAAUUAACCCUUUUGUAGUCAGAUUAAGUUAGAUUAGAAAUUUUAGUGAGUUAAUAUCUGGGUGGGUAAUAGUAAAUUGGUUCCUCAUCCCUUGCCCUUUUUGUUAAUAAAACUGUUUUAUACAAUUGUGUGAUUCCCUUCCCCCAAAUCCCCCUAUUUCAUUUCCCUAAUAAAUUUAGCCUGGGGCUAAGCCUUUUAGCAGCCCUCCAUACAGAGGCUAGUUAAUUAGGUGGUGUCUGUACUUAUAUCAAAUUUUUUUCCUCUGAAGUCUUUAGAACACCCUGCCCUCUAGCCUUGUGAGACUCUGACAUCUAUCCAGUACAUACUGGGGUUGUGCCAUCUACAGAUAGGAAGUAGAACUACAAGCAAUUUUAUAAUUAAAUUUAAAAUAGGCAACUGAGUAUGAAAAGCAUGGCCCACAUUGUGAAAGAGAAGUUUCCUGCCUAUUUCAAACAGGUCCCAUUCUCAUAGAACAUUAUUGAGCCCACAUAGCUCACAAUUUUAGAUGGCCUUCAUUUUUUUACCAUUUUUGAGUAUAAUUGUACUGAUAGGAGAGCUUCAAAUUUAUCAAAUAGUUUACCCAUUCCUCCCCAAGGGGGAAAAAAAAACAAUGGGAAGACAGUUGUACUUAGUCUCCACCUCACCCUGUCUGACCUAUUUCUCUUCCUGUCCAAUGCAUUUCUUGUCCAACCCAACCCAUCCCUUUUCCUGUCCAACUCACCUCUCAAACUACCUCUCCUCCUGCUCAAACUAUCCCUCCUCCUGUUCAAACUAUCUCUCCCCCUACCCAACCCAUCUCUCCCCCUGACCCUAUCAUUCCUCACCUUACCUACUCCAUUGCAACCCAAACAAAAAGCCAAACAGCAGUAAUUGAAGAUAAUUCAGUUAAAGGCCUAUUUCCCAUAAGGGAAGUACCCACUUUUAAUAGUGGAGGUUUAGUGACCAUUAGGCAUCAUAUACCUUUCACUCCACAAGAUAUAGAAAGAUUCAAGGUAAAUACCCUUUCCUUUGAAGAUGAGCUCAUUGUGAUUAUAAACAAGCUUGAGAGCACUUACUAUGCUUAUAAUCCCACAUGGACUGAGGUGAAAAAUUUGUUCCAAGCCUUUCUAACAGAAAGAGAAAAAAUUAAAUUGUUUCUCUUGUUGAUCAGGCCCAAGGAAAGGGAGCAAUUCAUUGGCCAAAGGAAGAUCCAAAAUGGAACUCAAAUACAGAGGAAGAAUUUUGCAGUUAUGUUUAGCUAUGGAUGCAAUAUUAGAUGCAAUGAGAGCUUACUCUGAUAGACCUGGUACAUGGACAAAAUUUGAAAAUCUUAAACAAAAGCAUUAUUAAAACCCCUCCCAGUUUAUGGAUAGGCUUAUUGACCUGGGAGGUAGAUAUAAAGACCUGGAUCUUUCCAGAGAAAGGAAUGUCAUGCAAAUAAGAAGGCAGUUUGUAAAGAACUAUUGUAAGGUGAUCAAAGACUAAUUUAAAACUAACUGCCCAAACUGGGCUACUAUGGAUCUAGAGGAAUUAAGAAAAGUGACAGUUUACAUUUUUGUUGGACAUGAGAAGAAAGAUGAUGAUAACAGUGACUUAGUGGAGGCAUUAAGGAAGGAAAUGAGAGUACUAACAGAAAAAAAAUUAAAAAAAGAAAAAGCAAAUCAAGGAAUGGCCAUAGCCGCUUUGCAGGAAUCCACAAAUCAACCAUUAAUUUGGUACUUCUGUGGAAAAAGGGAUCACGUAAUGAUAAACUGUAGGAAGUAGAAUCAGGUAUACAAAAAUUUAAAUUUUAGGAAAUAAUAGAAACAUUAGAAAUAACAAUAAUAGGAACUUGGAUAGAAAUAAUAAUUCAAAUGAAGUAAAUCAAGACCCACAACAAAAUACCCAAAAUGGGGUUUGUCCACACUAUAUUCAGGGAAGAAAUCCCCCUCAGCAUGGGGGACCCCAGAGGCAUGACCAAAGGAAUCUAGAUAAAUGAUGGUACUGGGGGGGGGGGAAGAAGGAACCUCAAAGAGUCUGGUGGUAAAUUUUAAGUCUUUUCAUACUGUUCCCCUCCCAAUAGUGAAAAAGCUUCUGUGAUGCAGUUUUUUAAAAAAAUUAUAUUCUUCCUAUGACUAGACUAGAGAUAAUACCAUUAUAAAAGUCCAUAGACAAGUUGGACACUGUUUUGGCUAACACAUUGUCAUGGAAUGUGAACUAUGAAUUUUUUAAAAUUUUCAUUAUUGUUUUUCUUUUUAUUUGCAAUAAGAUAUUUCAUUUUAUUAGCCAUUAUACCUAUGCAUACUGUAAGGGUUAAAAUUAGUGGUUUGACUAAACUAUAUGAUUCAAAGUAUUAUUGCUCAAAGUCACAGUGACUUUUAAUAGCUUUUAUUUACAAAAGAGGUGGAAAGAGUUAAAGUAAAGAAAUACAAAAAGGUAGAGAAAACAUUAACCUACUCAGCCAGGACUUGUUGACCUUCAACCAGAAAAGCCAGCUAUCCACUCACCCAAGUUCCCUCCAAGAGGCAGGUCAAGAUAAUAACUCAAGCUGAAGAUGAUUCCUGAUUCCGACUUUCUUCCUUGAGCCAACCUUCUUCUUGAAGUUGAAUUCCUUCUUGAAGUCAACUUCUUUCUUGGAGUUGUCUUUCUCUUUAGCCUUGGAAAUUCAGGGACUUUUAUAGUGACUUCUUAUCUUCUUUCCUCU
Monodelphis domestica (gray short-tailed opossum) is the source of this 3383-nucleotide long non-coding RNA. RefSeq lists it as uncharacterized. The record is from RefSeq and is a predicted model, not a curated record. NCBI's taxonomy places the organism in Eukaryota, Metazoa, Chordata, Mammalia, Didelphimorphia, Didelphidae.